RNAcentral lists this ribosomal RNA (640 nucleotides) under Thaxterogaster vibratilis. RNAcentral describes it as "eukaryotic LSU rRNA". It matches the Rfam family "Eukaryotic large subunit ribosomal RNA", at positions 1 to 623 of the family's 3401-position model. Lineage: Eukaryota; Fungi; Basidiomycota; Agaricomycetes; Agaricales; Cortinariaceae. The record is from RNAcentral.
GUGACCUCAAAUCAGGUAGGACUACCCGCUGAACUUAAGCAUAUCAAUAAGCGGAGGAAAAGAAACUAACAAGGAUUCCCCUAGUAACUGCGAGUGAAGCGGGAAAAGCUCAAAUUUAAAAUCUGACAGUCUUUGGCUGUCCGAGUUGUAAUCUAGAGAAGCAUUAUCCGCGCUGGACCGUGUACAAGUCUCCUGGAAUGGAGCGUCAUAGAGGGUGAGAAUCCCGUCUUUGACACGGACUGCCAGGGCUUUGUGAUGUGCUCUCAAAGAGUCGAGUUGUUUGGGAAUGCAGCUCAAAAUGGGUGGUAAAUUCCAUCUAAAGCUAAAUAUUGGCGAGAGACCGAUAGCGAACAAGUACCGUGAGGGAAAGAUGAAAAGAACUUUGGAAAGAGAGUUAAACAGUACGUGAAAUUGCUGAAAGGGAAACGCUUGAAGUCAGUCGUGUCAGUCAGGGAUCAGCCUUGCUUUUGCUUGGUGUACUUUCUGGUUGAUGGGUCAGCAUCAAUUUUGACUAUUGGAAAAAGAUCAGGGGAAUGUAGCAUCUUCGGAUGUGUUAUAGCCCUUGGUUGUAUGCAAUGGUUGGGAUUGAGGAACUCAGCAUGCCGCAAGGCCGGGUUUUAAACCACGAACCAUGCUAGGA